RNAcentral lists this ribosomal RNA (556 nucleotides) under uncultured bacterium. RNAcentral's name for it is "bacterial SSU rRNA". It matches the Rfam family "Bacterial small subunit ribosomal RNA", at positions 119 to 674 of the family's 1533-position model. The record is from RNAcentral.
GAAUUACAUGCCCUUCAGUGGGGAAUAGCCCAGGGAAACUUGGAUUAAUACCCCAUGGUAUCGCAAGAUUAAAGGUGGCCGCAAGGCUGUCGCUGAAGGAUUGGUUCGCGCCCUAUCAGCUUGUUGGUGAGGUAACGGCUCACCAAGGCUACGACGGGUACCUGGUCUGAGAGGACGAUCAGGCACACUGGAACUGAGACACGGUCCAGACACCUACGGGUGGCAGCAGUCGAGAAUAAUUCACAAUGGGGGCAACCCUGAUGGUGCAACGCCGCGUGGAGGAUGACGGUCUUCGGAUUGUAAACUCCUGUCAUCCGGGAGUAAGACCUGGCUGUGAAUAGCAGACAGGGUUGAUAGUACCGGAAGAGGAAGGGACGGCUAACUUCGUGCCAGCAGCCGCGGUAAUACGAAGGUCCCGAGCGUUGUUCGGAAUCACUGGGCGUAAAGGGAGCGUAGGCGGCGUGGUAAGUCAGAUGUGAAAUCCCGGGGCUCAACCCCGGAACUGCAUCCGAUACUGCCGUGCUAGAGGAUUGGAGAGGUAGCUGGAAUUCUUGGU